GCCCCCUUAGUUUAGUGGUAGAACAAUAGUAUCGUAAACUGUGAACGGAAGUUCGAUUCUUCCAGGGGGCU
RNAcentral lists this transfer RNA (71 nucleotides) under Minisyncoccota bacterium. RNAcentral's name for it is "tRNA-Thr". It matches the Rfam family "tRNA". Rfam says of the family: Transfer RNA (tRNA) molecules are approximately 80 nucleotides in length. The record is from RNAcentral. Lineage: Bacteria; Bacillati; Minisyncoccota.